This 808-nucleotide long non-coding RNA is filed under the name Hordeum vulgare. RNAcentral's name for it is "long non-coding RNA (HVUL_LNC020811)". The record is from RNAcentral. Lineage: Eukaryota; Viridiplantae; Streptophyta; Magnoliopsida; Poales; Poaceae.
GGCCGUUGCCGUUGCCCCUCCCGCCAGGUCCGUGGCCCCGGCCACCCCGCGACCUGCGCGACCUCCUCCGCGGCCUCCCAUGCCUGAAUGCCAUAAUUAUCUUGACAAGGUCAAUACUAAUCCGGGGAAUUUGAGAAAUAACAGUCAAUUUGACCUGAGCGAACAGGGAAUUUCAGAAAUCAUGAGUCAAUUUCAUCCGAGCGAACGGGGAGUUUUAGAAAUCACGAGUCAAUUUGAUCCUGGUUAACAGGGAAUUUGAGAAAUCACGAGUCAAUUUGAUCCGAGUUAACAGGGAAUUUGAGAAAUCACGAGUCUAUUAAGGUUAAAGCGGUUCCUCAGACCUGAAGAGGAAAUCGGAAAACAACCGCGGAACUGAAUCAGAUCUGGAAACGAAAUCCAAAAGCCACCGCAUUGUUAACAGGAGAUCAGAUCCGAUCCGAUUCGAUUCGUCUAAGGCUGGGGAUCCAGGAGAUCGAGGGUUUACCUCGUUCCUGGUCAGAUCGGGGAAGAGGGACGGGACGGGCGAGAUCCUCCUGUCCUGAUGAGAUCGGAGAACGAGGGACGGGCGAGACCCUCCUGUCCUGGCGGGAUCGGAGAACGAGGGACGGGCGAGAUCCUCUCCGCGCGGUCGGUGGUGGUGGUUCGAAUGCGGCCGAAGAGUUAGGGUUGGCUGCAGAGACGUGUUUAUUUAUAUCAUCCCCUUUUUUCGGGAUCAGCGGGCUUCCCUCGGGUGUUUUUCUUUCUGUUUAUCGGGAAAAUUGUUAUUUACACAGACACAUCGUUUGCGAGUAAUUUUUUAAUAAAUCCU